AUCUCAAUAUGAUGAUUUAUUUCUACACCAAGAUCUCUGAAUUACUUAAUGAAGAGACUUUUAAAAUAAAAACGAUUUGCAUGUCAGUCUGAUUUUAUU
RNAcentral lists this small nucleolar RNA (99 nucleotides) under Hanseniaspora osmophila. Its description in RNAcentral is "Small nucleolar RNA Z122". It matches the Rfam family "Small nucleolar RNA Z122". Rfam says of the family: Z122 is a member of the C/D class of snoRNA which contain the C (UGAUGA) and D (CUGA) box motifs. Most of the members of the box C/D family function in directing site-specific 2'-O-methylation of substrate RNAs. The record is from Rfam by way of RNAcentral. Lineage: Eukaryota; Fungi; Ascomycota; Saccharomycetes; Saccharomycodales; Saccharomycodaceae.